UGUGACCUCAAAUCAGGUAGGACUACCCGCUGAACUUAAGCAUAUCAAUAAGCGGAGGAAAAGAAACUAACAAGGAUUCCCCUAGUAACUGCGAGUGAAGCGGGAAAAGCUCAAAUUUAAAAUCUGGCGGUCUUUUGGCUGUCCGAGUUGUAAUCUAGAGAAGUGUUAUCCGCGCUGGACCGUGUACAAGUCUCCUGGAAUGGAGCAUCAUAGAGGGUGAGAAUCCCGUCUUUGACAUGGACUGCCAGGGCUUUGUGAUGCGCUCUCAAAGAGUCGAGUUGUUUGGGAAUGCAGCUCAAAAUGGGUGGUAAAUUCCAUCUAAAGCUAAAUAUUGGCGAGAGACCGAUAGCGAACAAGUACCGUGAGGGAAAGAUGAAAAGAACUUUGGAAAGAGAGUUAAACAGUACGUGAAAUUGCUGAAAGGGAAACSCUUGAAGUCAGUCGCGUUGUCCAGGGAUCAACCUUGCUUUUGCCUGGUGCACUUCCUGGUUCGACGGGUCAGCAUCAAUUUUGAUCGUUGGAAAAAGGCCAAGGGAAUGUGGCAUCUUCGGAUGUGUUAUAGCCCUUUGUCACAUACAAUGGUUGGGAUUGAGGAACUCAGCACGCCGCAAGGCCGGG
This 618-nucleotide ribosomal RNA is filed under the name Cortinarius velenovskyi. RNAcentral describes it as "eukaryotic LSU rRNA". It matches the Rfam family "Eukaryotic large subunit ribosomal RNA", at positions 1 to 609 of the family's 3401-position model. Lineage: Eukaryota; Fungi; Basidiomycota; Agaricomycetes; Agaricales; Cortinariaceae. The record is from RNAcentral.